This is a regulatory RNA element of Enterobacter sp. 638, 151 nucleotides long. It matches the Rfam family "FMN riboswitch aptamer (RFN element)". From Rfam's summary of the family: The RFN element is a highly conserved domain that is found frequently in the 5'-untranslated regions of prokaryotic mRNAs that encode for flavin mononucleotide (FMN) biosynthesis and transport proteins. This element is a metabolite-dependent riboswitch that directly binds FMN in the absence of proteins. In Bacillus subtilis, the riboswitch most likely controls gene expression by causing premature transcription termination within the 5' untranslated region of the ribDEAHT operon and precluding access to the ribosome-binding site of ypaA mRNA. The record is from Rfam. NCBI's taxonomy places the organism in Bacteria, Pseudomonadati, Pseudomonadota, Gammaproteobacteria, Enterobacterales, Enterobacteriaceae.
GCUUAUUCUCAGGGCGGGGCGAAAUUCCCCACCGGCGGUAAAUCAGCCUUGCGCUGAAAGCCCGCGAGCGCUUUGGGUGAAAACCUAAAGGUCAGCAGAUCCGGUGUAAUUCCGGAGCCGACGGUUAGAGUCCGGAUGGGAGAGAGUAACG